RNAcentral lists this ribosomal RNA (938 nucleotides) under uncultured bacterium. RNAcentral's name for it is "bacterial SSU rRNA". It matches the Rfam family "Bacterial small subunit ribosomal RNA", at positions 47 to 961 of the family's 1533-position model. The record is from RNAcentral.
CCUCAGACAUGCAAGUCGAACGCGAAAGUCCCCUUCGGGGGAUAAGUAGAGUGGCGUCCGGGUGAGUAACACGUAGGUAAUCUACCUUUGGGUGGGGAAUAACGCAGGGAAACUUGCGCUAAUACCGCAUAAUGCAGCGGCACCACAUGGUGACAGUUGUUAAAGCGGGGGAUUUUCGAACCUCGCGCCUAAAGAGGAGCCUGCGGCAGAUUAGCUAGUUGGUAAGGUAACGGCUUACCAAGGCAACGAUCUGUAGCCGGCCUGAGAGGGCGGUCGGCCACACUGACACUGACAUACGGGUCAGACUCCUACGGGAGGCAGCAGUCGGGAAUUUUGGGCAAUGGGCGAAAGCCUGACCCAGCAACGCCGCGUGAAGGAUGAAAUCCCUCGGGAUGUAAACUUCGCAAGAAUGGGAAGAAUUAGUAGGGGCUAAUACCCUCUAUGAUGACGGUACCAUUUGUAAGCUCCGGCUAACUCCGUGCCAGCAGCCGCGGUAAUACGGGGGGAGCAAGCGUUGUUCGGAUUUACUGGGCGUAAAGGGCGCGUAGGCGGUCAGCACAAGUCAGUUGUGAAAUCUCCGGGCUUAACUCGGAAAGGUCAACUGAUACUGUGCGACUAGAGUGCGGAAGGGGCAACUGGAAUUCUCGGUGUAGCGGUGAAAUGCGUAGAUAUCGAGAGGAACACCUGCGGCGAAGGCGGGUUGCUGGGCCGACACUGACGCUGAUGCGCGAAAGCCAGGGGAGCGAACGGGAUUAGAUACCCCGGUAGUCCUGGCCUUAAACGAUGGAUGCUUGGUGUCUGGAGUUUUAUAGUCUCCGGGUGCCGUAGCUAACGCGUUAAGCAUCCCGCCUGGGGAGUACGGUCGCAAGACUGAAACUCAAAGGAAUUGACGGGGACCCGCACAAGCGGUGGAGCAUGUGGUUCAAUUCGACGCAACG